UACGAACUGUGCAAACGUUAUUCGGAUUCACUGGGCUUAAAGGGUGCGUAGGCGGCUGUUUAAGUAGGGUGUGAAAGCCCCCGGCUCAACCGGGGAAUUGCGCUCUAAACUGGACAGCUUGAGUGAGACAGGGGUGUGCGGAACUUCCGGUGGAGCGGUGAAAUGUGUUGAUAUCGGAAGGAACGCCGGUGGCGAAAGCGGCACACUGGGUCUUGACUGACGCUGAGGCACGAAAGCCAGGGGAGCGAACGGGAUUAGAUACCCUCGUAGUCC
Molecule: ribosomal RNA, 273 nt
Filed under: uncultured bacterium
Lineage: Bacteria
Description: partial 16S ribosomal RNA
Rfam family: Bacterial small subunit ribosomal RNA
Source: RNAcentral